RNAcentral lists this antisense RNA (195 nucleotides) under Erwinia sp. Leaf53. Its description in RNAcentral is "Yersinia sRNA 276". It matches the Rfam family "Yersinia sRNA 276". Lineage: Bacteria; Pseudomonadati; Pseudomonadota; Gammaproteobacteria; Enterobacterales; Erwiniaceae. The record is from Rfam by way of RNAcentral.
CACCGACAUCAGCGACUCAUUCUGCGAGCCUUGGCCGACGGCGAGGUAGGCGUUCAUGCCCAGCUCUUUCAUCUGCUGCUCGCCGAUCACCCGGGUGGUGAUGUUCCUGCUGUAGGCGUCCGCCAGCUGGCGCGCCUGCGAGGCCAGAUACGCCGCGUUACAAAUAUUUGGCGGCAUAUUGCCGAGGUCUUUCGC